This 567-nucleotide ribosomal RNA is filed under the name Lindtneria trachyspora. RNAcentral's name for it is "partial small subunit ribosomal RNA". It matches the Rfam family "Bacterial small subunit ribosomal RNA", at positions 440 to 879 of the family's 1533-position model. Lineage: Eukaryota; Fungi; Basidiomycota; Agaricomycetes; Agaricales; Stephanosporaceae. The record is from RNAcentral.
UUAGAAGGAUAAUGUAAGGGAAAAUAAUGAUAUUACCUUACUAUAAGUGUUGUCCAAAACUGGUGCCAGAAGACUCGGUAAGGCCAGAAACGCGAACGUUAGUCAUCUUAAACAGGCGUAAAGGGUUUGUAGGCAGCUUUGAAAUCCUGAUUUUUAAAAAAUAGUUGCCGCUCCAUCCUUUCCAUCCCUCCCUCUAUCCAUACCUCUCCCUCUCUUCCUGCCGUCCAUGUCCUUUCCUUUACGGCAGGCUGGAUGGAUAGGAGAGAGGGCUGGGCUGGAUGCAGAGGGCUGGAAGGAAAAGGCGGAUAAAUAAAAGAGGGAAAUUAGAAGAUAGAAUCAAAUAUAGGAAAAUUCGAAUAAAUUCUAGAAGAGGGUUAAUAUCCGAAGAUACUAGAAUGAAUGCUUAAGGCGAAGGCCUUUUUCCAUAAAUGAUUGACGCUCAGAAACGAAGGAUAGGAUAGGAAACAGGAUUAGAUACCCUGGUACCCCUUUCAGUCAACGAUGAAUGGUAGUCACUAAUUAAAGUAUUGGUGUCAAUGUUAACACGUUAACCAUUCCGCCUUGUGA